UGGGGAAUAUUGCACAAUGGGGGAAACCCUGAUGCAGCGACGCCGCGUGAGCGAAGAAGGUUUUCGAAUCGUAAAGCUCUGUCCUAUGAGAAGAUAAUGACGGUAUCAUAGGAGGAAGCCCCGGCUAAAUACGUGCCAGCAGCCGCGGUAAUACGUAUGGGGCGAGCGUUGUCCGGAAUUAGUGGGCGUAAAGGGUACGUAGGCGGUCUAUUAAGUCAGGUGUGAAAGCGUGAGGCUUAACCUCAUUAAGCACUUGAAACUGAUAGACUUGAGUGAAGGGGAGGAAAGUGGAAUUCCUAGUGUAGCGGUGAAAUGCGUAGAUAUUAGGAGGAAUACCGGUGGCGAAGGGGACUUUCUGGACUCUUACUGACGCUCAGGUACGAAAGCGUGGGGAGCAAACAGG
Molecule: ribosomal RNA, 403 nt
Filed under: Verrucomicrobiota bacterium
Lineage: Bacteria; Pseudomonadati; Verrucomicrobiota
Description: Verrucomicrobia bacterium partial 16S ribosomal RNA
Rfam family: Bacterial small subunit ribosomal RNA
Source: RNAcentral